Molecule: unclassified non-coding RNA, 200 nt
Filed under: soil metagenome
Description: partial contains internal transcribed spacer 2 and large subunit ribosomal RNA
Source: RNAcentral
GUUCGAGCGUCAUUAUAACCACUCACGCCUAGCGUGGUGUUGGGGCACGCGGUUCCGCGGCUCUCAAAUCCAGUGGCGGUGCCAGUGGGCUCUAAGCGUAGUAAUACUCCUCGCUAUAGGGUCUCCCCUGGUUGCCCGCCAGAACCCCCCUAAUUUUUCAGGUUGACCUCGGAUCAGGUAGGGAUACCCGCUGAACUUAA